RNAcentral lists this ribosomal RNA (444 nucleotides) under Klebsiella pneumoniae. Its description in RNAcentral is "partial 23S ribosomal RNA". It matches the Rfam family "Bacterial large subunit ribosomal RNA", at positions 2380 to 2823 of the family's 2925-position model. RNAcentral also lists the same sequence under 1 other name. Lineage: Bacteria; Pseudomonadati; Pseudomonadota; Gammaproteobacteria; Enterobacterales; Enterobacteriaceae. The record is from RNAcentral.
CGUGACGGCGCGAGCAGGUGCGAAAGCAGGUCAUAGUGAUCCGGUGGUUCUGAAUGGAAGGGCCAUCGCUCAACGGAUAAAAGGUACUCCGGGGAUAACAGGCUGAUACCGCCCAAGAGUUCAUAUCGACGGCGGUGUUUGGCACCUCGAUGUCGGCUCAUCACAUCCUGGGGCUGAAGUAGGUCCCAAGGGUAUGGCUGUUCGCCAUUUAAAGUGGUACGCGAGCUGGGUUUAGAACGUCGUGAGACAGUUCGGUCCCUAUCUGCCGUGGGCGCUGGAGAAUUGAGGGGGGCUGCUCCUAGUACGAGAGGACCGGAGUGGACGCAUCACUGGUGUUCGGGUUGUCAUGCCAAUGGCACUGCCCGGUAGCUAAAUGCGGAAGAGAUAAGUGCUGAAAGCAUCUAAGCACGAAACUUGCCCCGAGAUGAGUUCUCCCUGAGACUU